Triticum aestivum (bread wheat) is the source of this 135-nucleotide non-coding RNA. The record is from Rfam. NCBI's taxonomy places the organism in Eukaryota, Viridiplantae, Streptophyta, Magnoliopsida, Poales, Poaceae.
AACAUAUUACCUCCGUCUCAAAUUAGUUAUUUUAGAUUUGUCUAUAUACGGAUGUAUCUAACACUAAAAUGUGUUUAGAUAGUUUCGUAGUUAGAUAAAUUUCCGACAACUAAUUCGGGACGAAGGUAGUAUGUU